Molecule: ribosomal RNA, 491 nt
Filed under: uncultured bacterium
Lineage: Bacteria
Description: partial 16S ribosomal RNA
Rfam family: Bacterial small subunit ribosomal RNA
Source: RNAcentral
AGUGAACGCUGGCGGUAGGCCUAACACAUGCAAGUCGAACGGCAGCACAGUAAGAGCUUGCUCUUACGGGUGGCGAGUGGCGCACGGGUGAGGAAUACAUCGGAAUCUACUUUUUCGUGGGGGAUAACGUAGGGAAACUUACGCUAAUACCGCAUACGACCUACGGGUGAAAGCAGGGGAUCUUCGGACCUUGCGCGAUUGAAUGAGCCGAUGUCGGAUUAGCUAGUUGGCGGGGUAAAGGCCCACCAAGGCGACGAUCCGUAGCUGGUCUGAGAGGAUGAUCAGCCACACUGGAACUGAGACACGGUCCAGACUCCUACGGGAGGCAGCAGUGGGGAAUAUUGGACAAUGGGCGCAAGCCUGAUCCAGCCAUACCGCGUGGGUGAAGAAGGCCUUCGGGUUGUAAAGCCCUUUUGUUGGGAAAGAAAAGCAGCAGGUUAAUACCCCGCUGUUCUGACGGUACCCAAAGAAUAAGCACCGGCUAACUUCGU